Molecule: ribosomal RNA, 253 nt
Filed under: uncultured bacterium
Lineage: Bacteria
Description: partial 16S ribosomal RNA
Rfam family: Bacterial small subunit ribosomal RNA
Source: RNAcentral
UACAGAGGGUGCGAGCGUUAAUCGGAAUUACUGGGCGUAAAGCGCACGUAGGCGGCUUGGUAUGUCGGGUGUGAAAUCCCCGGGCUCAACCUGGGAACUGCAUCCGAAACUGCCUUGCUCGAGUAUGGGAGAGGGAAGUGGAAUUUCCGGUGUAGCGGUGAAAUGCGUAGAUAUCGGAAGGAACAUCAGUGGCGAAAGCGACUUCCUGGACCAGUACCGACGUUCAGGCACGAAAGCGUGGGGAGCAAACAGG